AAGAAAGUGGCAGAGUGGUUGUGUGCUUGGCUUGAAACCAAGAUACGGGGGUUCGAUUCCUCCCUUUCUCG
Molecule: transfer RNA, 71 nt
Filed under: Saurida elongata (slender lizardfish)
Lineage: Eukaryota; Metazoa; Chordata; Actinopteri; Aulopiformes; Synodontidae
Description: tRNA-Ser
Rfam family: tRNA
About the family: Transfer RNA (tRNA) molecules are approximately 80 nucleotides in length. Their secondary structure includes four short double-helical elements and three loops (D, anti-codon, and T loops). Further hydrogen bonds mediate the characteristic L-shaped molecular structure. tRNAs have two regions of fundamental functional importance: the anti-codon, which is responsible for specific mRNA codon recognition, and the 3' end, to which the tRNAs corresponding amino acid is attached (by aminoacyl-tRNA synthetases). tRNAs cope with the degeneracy of the genetic code in two manners: having more than one tRNA (with a specific anti-codon) for a particular amino acid; and 'wobble' base-pairing, i.e. permitting non-standard base-pairing at the 3rd anti-codon position.
Source: RNAcentral